GAUUAAAAUUCCCCACCUCCGCCCAUGCCACCAGUGGCUCUGUCUGCGAGGACGCUUCCUCCUCCAGUCUCUCUAGCUGCUUUCCGGCCCAGCCAGCUUGGAGCAGUCUGGAGAAGAGAGAGUCUGCAGUCCACAUCUGCUCCGGUGUUCGGCCUCUGCCACAGGGGCUCGGGAGAGAGCAACUGCACGGUCCCAGACAGAGAAACCUCUGUGUUCGAUGACGAGAAUAGCCACCCAAGAAAGCACCAGAAUGGCAUCUCCUCUGCAACAUGCCCCAUGCCUCGGAAUGCCAUGGAGCAGCUGAGAGGAAGACUCCUCCUUUUAAAGGUUUGUCAGUGGGGGUUCCUCCCCCUCCCCAUGCUGUGACGCACUUCGAGACAGCAAUGAGUUCCCAGCCUGCA
Chelonia mydas (Green sea turtle) is the source of this 401-nucleotide long non-coding RNA. RefSeq lists it as uncharacterized. NCBI's taxonomy places the organism in Eukaryota, Metazoa, Chordata, Testudines, Cheloniidae. The record is from RefSeq and is a predicted model, not a curated record. The transcript has 3 exons.